UACGUAGGGUGCAAGCGUUGUCCGGAAUUAUUGGGCGUAAAGAGCUCGUAGGCGGUUUGUCGCGUCGAAUGUGAAAACCCGGGGCUCAACCCCGGGCCUGCAUUCGAUACGGGCAGACUAGAGUUCGGUAGGGGAGUCUGGAAUUCCUGGUGUAGCGGUGAAAUGCGCAGAUAUCAGGAGGAACACCGGUGGCGAAGGCGGGACUCUGGGCCGAUACUGACGCUGAGGAGCGAAAGCUAGGGGAGCAAACGGG
This 253-nucleotide ribosomal RNA is filed under the name uncultured bacterium. RNAcentral's name for it is "partial 16S ribosomal RNA". It matches the Rfam family "Bacterial small subunit ribosomal RNA", at positions 524 to 776 of the family's 1533-position model. The record is from RNAcentral.